This is a non-coding RNA of Pelobates cultripes (western spadefoot toad), 357 nucleotides long. Lineage: Eukaryota; Metazoa; Chordata; Amphibia; Anura; Pelobatidae. The record is from the annotation of a GenBank genome assembly.
UGCCCCUUUUGGUAGGAGUGUAUUUUAACUUAUUUUAUUAUUGUUCAAUUUUAUUAUUAACAGUCAAAAUUGUGAGGAGAAUUCUUAAUAACAGUAAUUGAGUCCAUUAAAUCAGAUAAUUCUCAGCAAUGACAUUGUACCAUAACCAGUGACAACACCAUAACCACUGACAAAGCACUAUAACUACUGAGCCCUGCUUGCCUUCAGUAACGGUAACUGAGUCUAAAAUACAACUGGACGAAAUGGUCAAUGGUAUAAAACACUGGAAUAUACUUUUACCUUUUUUUAGUUACUGGACGGGCCCCUCCUAGCCUUGUCCGAGAUAUCCCCCUAACUAAAUUACAAACUGAUAUGAUU